RNAcentral lists this unclassified non-coding RNA (295 nucleotides) under Hevea brasiliensis (rubber tree). Lineage: Eukaryota; Viridiplantae; Streptophyta; Magnoliopsida; Malpighiales; Euphorbiaceae. The record is from RNAcentral.
AUAGAGACUAAAUACAUUACAAAAGUCAAAAGUUUGCUAACCAAACCUCCAUAAUUUAAGGAAGUUUGUCUCUCAAACUUAAGCUUCUCCAUUCAUUCUAAACUACCCCAACUAAUGCAAACUAAUAUAGAUAUGAGGUAGAAAAUACAUUAAAAUAAAAACAAAAUAUCUUCAAGACAAAAUAAUUUCCUCACUAACACUUGCAUCAGACAAAGAAUAUAGUAUACUAGACAGUAUGCUAGAUACAUUGUCACAGAUAGCAUGCUGGAUUUAACACAAGCCAUGACCAACCAGG